RNAcentral lists this ribosomal RNA (1113 nucleotides) under Curtobacterium sp. RNAcentral describes it as "bacterial SSU rRNA". It matches the Rfam family "Bacterial small subunit ribosomal RNA", at positions 55 to 1181 of the family's 1533-position model. Lineage: Bacteria; Bacillati; Actinomycetota; Actinomycetes; Micrococcales; Microbacteriaceae. The record is from RNAcentral.
UUGCAAGUCGAACGAUGAUGCCCAGCUUGCUGGGUGGAUUAGUGGCGAACGGGUGAGUAACACGUGAGUAACCUGCCCCUGACUCUGGGAUAAGCGUUGGAAACGACGUCUAAUACUGGAUACGACUGCCGGCCGCAUGGUCUGGUGGUGGAAAGAUUUUUUGGUUGGGGAUGGACUCGCGGCCUAUCAGCUUGUUGGUGAGGUAAUGGCUCACCAAGGCGACGACGGGUAGCCGGCCUGAGAGGGUGACCGGCCACACUGGGACUGAGACACGGCCCAGACUCCUACGGGAGGCAGCAGUGGGGAAUAUUGCACAAUGGGCGAAAGCCUGAUGCAGCAACGCCGCGUGAGGGAUGACGGCCUUCGGGUUGUAAACCUCUUUUAGUAGGGAAGAAGCGAAAGUGACGGUACCUGCAGAAAAAGCACCGGCUAACUACGUGCCAGCAGCCGCGGUAAUACGUAGGGUGCAAGCGUUGUCCGGAAUUAUUGGGCGUAAAGAGCUCGUAGGCGGUUUGUCGCGUCUGCUGUGAAAUCCCGAGGCUCAACCUCGGGCUUGCAGUGGGUACGGGCAGACUAGAGUGCGGUAGGGGAGAUUGGAAUUCCUGGUGUAGCGGUGGAAUGCGCAGAUAUCAGGAGGAACACCGAUGGCGAAGGCAGAUCUCUGGGCCGUAACUGACGCUGAGGAGCGAAAGCAUGGGGAGCGAACAGGAUUAGAUACCCUGGUAGUCCAUGCCGUAAACGUUGGGCGCUAGAUGUAGGGACCUUUCCACGGUUUCUGUGUCGUAGCUAACGCAUUAAGCGCCCCGCCUGGGGAGUACGGCCGCAAGGCUAAAACUCAAAGGAAUUGACGGGGGCCCGCACAAGCGGCGGAGCAUGCGGAUUAAUUCGAUGCAACGCGAAGAACCUUACCAAGGCUUGACAUACACCGGAAACGGCCAGAGAUGGUCGCCCCCUUGUGGUCGGUGUACAGGUGGUGCAUGGUUGUCGUCAGCUCGUGUCGUGAGAUGUUGGGUUAAGUCCCGCAACGAGCGCAACCCUCGUUCUAUGUUGCCAGCGGGUCAUGCCGGGGACUCAUAGGAGACUGCCGGGGUCACUCGGAGGAAGGUGGGGAUG